GACGAGGGGUCCAAGCGUUGCUCGGAAUUAUUGGGCGUAAAGCGGAUGUAGGUGGUUUUGUAAGUCAGAAGUGAAAUCCCUGGGCUUAACCCAGGACGUGCUUUUGAUACUGCUUAACUUGAGUGUGGGAGAGGAUAGUAGAAUUCCAGGUGUAGUGGUGAAAUACGUAGAUAUCUGGAGGAAUACCGGUGAGGAAGCUGGCUGUCUGGCCCAACACUGACACUGAGAUCCGAAAGCGUGGGGAUCAAACAGG
This 253-nucleotide ribosomal RNA is filed under the name uncultured bacterium. Its description in RNAcentral is "partial 16S ribosomal RNA". It matches the Rfam family "Bacterial small subunit ribosomal RNA", at positions 524 to 776 of the family's 1533-position model. The record is from RNAcentral.